UACGUAGGGUGCGAGCGUUGUCCGGAUUUAUUGGGCGUAAAGCGCUCGCAGGUGGUCCGUCGCGUCGUGCGUGAAAGACCCCGGCUCAACUGGGGAGGGUCGUGCGAUACGGGCGGACUGGAGGCCAGUAGGGGGAUGCGGAAUUCCGGGUGUAGUGGUGGAAUGCGUAGAGAUCCGGAGGAACACCAGCGGCGAAGGCGGCAUCCUGGACUGGUCCUGACACUCAGGAGCGAAAGCGUGGGGAGCGAUCCGG
RNAcentral lists this ribosomal RNA (253 nucleotides) under uncultured bacterium. RNAcentral describes it as "partial 16S ribosomal RNA". It matches the Rfam family "Bacterial small subunit ribosomal RNA", at positions 524 to 776 of the family's 1533-position model. The record is from RNAcentral.